UUUAUGGAGAGUUUGAUCCUGGCUCAGGACGAACGCUGGCGGCGUGCCUAAUACAUGCAAGUCGAGCGGACUAAUUAAGAGCUUGCUCUUAUGACGUUAGCGGCGGACGGGUGAGUAACACGUGGGCAACCUGCCC
Molecule: ribosomal RNA, 136 nt
Filed under: Halalkalibacter alkaliphilus
Lineage: Bacteria; Bacillati; Bacillota; Bacilli; Caryophanales; Bacillaceae
Description: partial 16S ribosomal RNA
Rfam family: Bacterial small subunit ribosomal RNA
Source: RNAcentral